Molecule: ribosomal RNA, 876 nt
Filed under: Cenangiaceae sp.
Lineage: Eukaryota; Fungi; Ascomycota; Leotiomycetes; Helotiales; Cenangiaceae
Description: partial large subunit ribosomal RNA
Rfam family: Eukaryotic large subunit ribosomal RNA
Source: RNAcentral
GAACAACAGGGAUUGCCUCAGUAACGGCGAGUGAAGCGGCAAAAGCUCAAAUUCUGAAAUCUGGCUCUCUCAGGGCCCGAGUUGUAAUUUGUAGAAGAUGCUUCGGGUGUGGCCCCGGUCUAAGUUCCUCGGAACAGGGCGUCAUAGAGGGUGAGAAUCCCGUACGUGACUGGGUGCCCACGCCUGUGUGAAGCUCUUUCGACGAGUCGAGUUGUUUGGGAAUGCAGCUCAAAAUGGGUGGUAAAUUUCAUCUAAAGCUAAAUAUUGGCCAGAGACCGAUAGCGCACAAGUAGAGUGAUCGAAAGAUGAAAAGCACUUUGGAAAGAGAGUUAAACAGUACGUGAAAUUGUUGAAAGGGAAGCGCUUGCAACCAGACUUGCGCCUGGGCGAUCAUCCGGGGUUCUCCCCGGUGCACUCGCUCAGGCUCAGGCCAGCAUCGGUUCUCGUGGCUGGAUAAAGGCCCUGGGAAUGUAGCCCCUCUCGGGGGGUGUUAUAGCCCAGGGCGCAAUGCAGCCCACGGGGACCGAGGACCGCGCUUCGGCUAGGAUGCUGGCGUAAUGGUUGUAAGCGACCCGUCUUGAAACACGGACCAAGGAGUCUAACAUCUAUGCGAGUGUUUGGGUGCCAAACCCAUACGCGUAAUGAAAGUGAACGGAGGUGAGAACCCUUAAGGGCGCAUCAUCGACCGAUCCUGAUGUCUUCGGAUGGAUUUGAGUAAGAGCAUAGCUGUUGGGACCCGAAAGAUGGUGAACUAUGCGUGAAUAGGGUGAAGCCAGAGGAAACUCUGGUGGAGGCUCGCAGCGGUUCUGACGUGCAAAUCGAUCGUCAAAUUUGCGUAUAGGGGCGAAAGACUAAUCGAACCUCUAGUAGUGGUCU